Molecule: transfer RNA, 69 nt
Filed under: Ovis aries (sheep)
Lineage: Eukaryota; Metazoa; Chordata; Mammalia; Artiodactyla; Bovidae
Rfam family: tRNA
About the family: Transfer RNA (tRNA) molecules are approximately 80 nucleotides in length. Their secondary structure includes four short double-helical elements and three loops (D, anti-codon, and T loops). Further hydrogen bonds mediate the characteristic L-shaped molecular structure. tRNAs have two regions of fundamental functional importance: the anti-codon, which is responsible for specific mRNA codon recognition, and the 3' end, to which the tRNAs corresponding amino acid is attached (by aminoacyl-tRNA synthetases). tRNAs cope with the degeneracy of the genetic code in two manners: having more than one tRNA (with a specific anti-codon) for a particular amino acid; and 'wobble' base-pairing, i.e. permitting non-standard base-pairing at the 3rd anti-codon position.
Source: Rfam by way of RNAcentral
CCUGGUGGCUCAGAUGUUAAAGCGUCUGCCUGCAAUGCGGGAGACCUGGGUUCGAACCCUGGGUCAGGA